Molecule: ribosomal RNA, 422 nt
Filed under: uncultured bacterium
Lineage: Bacteria
Description: partial 16S ribosomal RNA
Rfam family: Bacterial small subunit ribosomal RNA
Source: RNAcentral
AAUAUUGGACAAUGGGGGCAACCCUGAUCCAGCCAUGCCGCGUGUGUGAAGAAGGUCUUCGGAUUGUAAAGCACUUUAAGUUGGGAGGAAGGGCUUUAGGCUAAUACCCUGAAGUUUUGACGUUACCAACAGAAUAAGCACCGGCUAACUCUGUGCCAGCAGCCGCGGUAAUACAGAGGGUUCAAGCGUUAAUCGGAAUUACUGGGCGUAAAGGGCGGGUAAGUGGGUUCGUAAGAUUGGUGUGAAAUCCCCGGGCUUAACCUUGGAAAUUGUUUCAUAACCGCUGGGGUAGAGUACGGUAGAGGGUAGGGGAAUUUCCGUUGUAGCGGUGAAAUGCGUAGAUAAUGGAAGGAAACACCGUGGCGAAGGCGACUACCUGGACUGAUACUGACACUGAGGUGCGAAAGCGUGGGGAGCAAACA